GCGCCGCUAGCUCAGUUGGCAGAGCAGCUGACUCUUAAUCAGCGGGUCGCAGGUUCGAGCCCUGCGCGGCGUA
RNAcentral lists this transfer RNA (73 nucleotides) under Phycisphaerae bacterium. Its description in RNAcentral is "tRNA-Lys". It matches the Rfam family "tRNA". From Rfam's summary of the family: Transfer RNA (tRNA) molecules are approximately 80 nucleotides in length. Their secondary structure includes four short double-helical elements and three loops (D, anti-codon, and T loops). Further hydrogen bonds mediate the characteristic L-shaped molecular structure. tRNAs have two regions of fundamental functional importance: the anti-codon, which is responsible for specific mRNA codon recognition, and the 3' end, to which the tRNAs corresponding amino acid is attached (by aminoacyl-tRNA synthetases). tRNAs cope with the degeneracy of the genetic code in two manners: having more than one tRNA (with a specific anti-codon) for a particular amino acid; and 'wobble' base-pairing, i.e. permitting non-standard base-pairing at the 3rd anti-codon position. Lineage: Bacteria; Pseudomonadati; Planctomycetota; Phycisphaerae. The record is from RNAcentral.